RNAcentral lists this ribosomal RNA (497 nucleotides) under uncultured bacterium. RNAcentral describes it as "partial 16S ribosomal RNA". It matches the Rfam family "Bacterial small subunit ribosomal RNA", at positions 28 to 507 of the family's 1533-position model. The record is from RNAcentral.
GAUGAACGCUGGCGGCGUGCCUAAUACAUGCAAGUCGAGCGAACAGACGAGGAGCUUGCUCCUCUGACGUUAGCGGCGGACGGGUGAGUAACACGUGGAUAACCUACCUAUAAGACUGGGAUAACUUCGGGAAACCGGAGCUAAUACCGGAUAAUAUCUUGAACCGCAUGGUUCAAUAGUGAAAGACGGUUUUGCUGUCACUUAUAGAUGGAUCCGCGCCGCAUUAGCUAGUUGGUAAGGUAACGGCUUACCAAGGCAACGAUGCGUAGCCGACGUGCGAGGCUGAUCGGCCACACUGGAACGGAGACGCGGUCAAGGCUCCUGAGGGAGGCAGCAGUAGGGUAUCUGCGGCAAUGGGCGAAAGCCUGGCGGAGCAACGCCGCGUGAGAGAUGAAGGUCUUCGGAUCGUAAAACUCUGUUAUUAGGGAAGAACAAAUGUGGAAGUAACUAUGCACGGCUUGACGGUACCUAAUCAGAAAGCCACGGCUAACUACGUG